GUGGAGGCUGCAGUGAGCCGAGAUCACACCAUUGUCCUCCAGCCUGGGUGACAGAGCCAGACUCCGUCUCAAACAAAACAAAACAAAAGACAUCAGCUAGCUGGUCCAAGCACAGUGGUGUUCACAACGAAUUGAUCACAGCCAGGUAGAAUUCUUCAUUCUUUCUCCAGUUCCACUGCUUUGCUUGACCAGCCUUAAAGACACACAUAUACAUUUUUGUCUGGGCGCGCUGGCUCACACCUGUAAUCCCAACACUUUGGGAGGCCAAGGCAGGCGGAUCACUUGAGGUCAGGAGUUUGAGACCAGCCUGACCAACGUGGAGAAACCCCGUCUCUCCUAAAAAUACAAAAUUAGCCAGGCAUGGUGGCACACGCCUGUAAUCCCAGCUACUGGAGAGGCUGAGGCAGGAGAAUCGCUUGAACCCGGGAGGCGGAGGUUGCCGUGAGCUGAGAUCGCGCCACUGCACUCCAGCCUGGGCAACAAGAGCGAAACUCUGUCUCAAAAAAAAAAAAAAAAAAGUAUAUAUUUUUAAAAGACAUUGGCCGGGUGCGGUGGCUCACGCCUGUAAUCCCAGCACUUUGGGAGGCCGAGGUGGGCAGAUCACGAGGUCAGGAGAUCGAGACCAUCCUGGCCAACACGGUAAAACCCCGUCUCUACUAAAAAUACAAAAAUUAGCUGGGCACGGUGGUGCAUGCCUGUAAACCCAGCUACCAGGUACUCGGGAGGCUGAGGCAGGAGAAUCACUUGAACCAGGGAGUCGGAGGUUGCGGCGAGCUGAGAUCAUGCCACUGCACUGCGGCCUGGAGACAAGAGCAAGACUCCGUCUCAAAAAAAAAAAAAAAAAAAAAAAAAAAAAGACAUCAACUAAUUGCAGUGUGUGGACCUUAUUUGGCUCUUAAUUCAAACUAUUAAACCAAAAAUGUGAACACACCAGGCCUUCGGUGGCAUGAAGGAAUUGUCUGUUGUGUUAGGUGGGUCUGCGGUAUUGCGAUGCCCUCCAAAAUGCUUGCAGAUAAAAGGGUGGCUGGAAUUUGGUUCAAAACAUGGGUCAGGGCUGGGCGUGGUGGCUCAUGCCUGUAAUCCCAGCACUUUGGGAGGCCGAGGCGGGCGGAUCAUCUGAGGUCAGGAGUUCAAGACCAGCCUGACCAAUAUGGAGAAACCCUGUCUCUACUAAAAAUACAAAAUUAGCCAGGCAUGGUGGUGCACGCCUGUAAUCCCAGCUACUCGGGAGGCUGAGGCAGGAAAAGCGCUUGAACCCAGGAGGCGGAGGUUGCCAUGAGCCGAGAUCGUGCCAUUGCACUCCAGCCUUGGCAACAAGAGUGAACUCUGUCUCAAAAAAAAAAACAAAAAACACAUGGGUCAGGAGGGGAAGGGUCGGGGCAGGGAGGGCAGGGCAGGCUCUGGGGUGGGGGGUCUGUGAGUCAGCCACGGCUCUGCCCACGUCUCCCCACGAAGCUUCGAGCCAUGCAGAGCAGCACGUUUUGCAGUACGCCAUCUUUUCCAAAAGCCACCACCUCUCGGCAGCAUCCUUAACCCAAGGCAGGCUGUGGCCUCAGAAGCCCCGGCUGUCCUCCACCUGGAACUGGACACAGCUGUCCCUGCUGAGCUUCAGCAGCCAGGGAGCCACAAGUGGAUAGGCACCUGCGUGAGCCCCCCAGGAAGGCUACUGGUGACACCCAGACAGCAACGCUCCUGGACCCUUGAACACCUGCCAGCAGCUGUGAUCUGUGUCCUUCACCUCUCCCAGCUUGACCCCUCUUCCCUGGGGAAAACCCAGCCGUCUCCCCGAGGAGGAGUUUGCAGGGUAGACAGCAAAAUGGCUGGGCUGCCCCACAGCACAGAGGGUGGCCUGGGGGGCCAGCCAGGGCCUUCACAUCCUUCCUAGGGCCCUAGUUUCCCAUGGGUCCCCUCACCCCACCUUCCAGAACUCUCCCAGCGGCGGCCCCAGGUGUGUACAGAACAGCACCCACCUGCCCACAUGAGGUCACCCUGUGCCCUGUUGCACACUUGAGGGGCCUGGCAUUCGGAAUCUUGCCAGCUCAGGCUGGGACAGGCCACCAACCCCCAGGGUCCCCCUCCUCCAAACCCCAGGACCAGAGCCUAAGAGGACAACACAAGGCAGGGGCGGGGGCUCCACUGCUGUGCCAAGGGCCUGGAGAACACGGGCCUUGCUCUCCGCUCAGCAGCCACCAGCGCCCUUCUCUCCCGGACAGCUCCCGAGGGGCUGCUCUCAUGGACACCAUCAGGUGCUGGGAAGCAGGAACCACCAGGACCUGGACAGAGUCCCCAGUGACCGGCCUGGCAGACAGAGGAGCCCUCAGCUACAGCAUCACAAACAACGGGUGGGGAUACCACAUGGAGCAUUUUGAGGAGUGCUGGCCAGGUAUUUUGUAGAAUGUUCCUCAACUGGGAUUUGGCAGAUGCUUCUCAUCCUUAGUCUUGGCUUGUGUGUGUUUUGAGGAGGAGGACCACAGAGCUUAAGAAUCAUUCUCAGCACUCUGUAUCAGGCACGCAUUCUCUCAAGAUGACUUGCCGCUAUUGAAGUUGACUUUGAUCACCUGGCUGAGGAUCGACAUUUGUUCAAGAAGCCUGGUUCCUUUUACUGGAGAAUGGUGUUUAUUGGAGAACAGAGACCUGGGCACCAGAGGAGGAUCAGAGGACUUCUGUCCUGAGAUUGCCAGAAAAAUGAUGAACAGAAAAUUAUACACAACCGAACAGGCCCAACUUUCAAAUGGACUGAGAAUGACCCACACAAGUUCCACCGAGGCCAAGGGUGACCUGCAGCCAGCGACAGGGAAAGACUGCCACUUACUGGCGGCCUCCGGAACUGGAAGGAGUGUACUGACAAUUGUAUCUUUCGCAAGCUCUUAACCUUUAUACCGUCAAUA
Long non-coding RNA from Homo sapiens (human), 2888 nucleotides. RefSeq lists it as uncharacterized. The transcript is spliced from 4 exons. The record is from RefSeq and is a predicted model, not a curated record. NCBI's taxonomy places the organism in Eukaryota, Metazoa, Chordata, Mammalia, Primates, Hominidae.